UCUGGUGACGAUAGCAGAAGGGUCACACCUGUUCCCAUACCGAACACAGAAGUUAAGCCUUCUAACGCUGAUGGUACUUGAGUGGAAACACUCUGGGAGAGUAGGAAGUUGCCAGAU
RNAcentral lists this ribosomal RNA (117 nucleotides) under Anaerosalibacter massiliensis. The record is from RNAcentral. Lineage: Bacteria; Bacillati; Bacillota; Tissierellia; Tissierellales; Sporanaerobacteraceae.